UCUAGAGUAAGGGAGAGGCAGAUGGAAUUCUUGGUGUAGGGGUAAAAUCCGUAGAGAUCAAGAAGAAUACCCAUUGCGAAAGCGAUCUGCUGGAACUUAACUGACGCUAAUGCGUGAAAGCGUGGGGAGCAAACAGGAUUAGAUACCCUGGUAGUCCACGCCCUAAACGAUGUAUACUAGUUGUUGCUUCGCUAGUCGAGGCAGUAAUGCACCUAACGGAUUAAGUAUACCGCCUGGGGAGUACGGUCGCAAGAUUAAAACUCAAAGGAAUAGACGGGGACCCGCACAAGCGGUGGAGCAUGUGGUUUAAUUCGAAGAUACGCGAAGAACCUUACCCGGACUUGAUAUCUAACAAAUCAUCCAGAGAUGGAAGAGUGUCUGCUUGCAGAAAUGUUAAGACAGGUGCUGCACGGCUGUCGUCAGCUCGUGUCGUGAGAUGUUGGGUUAAGUCCCGCAACGAGCGCAACCCACGUCAUUAGUUGCUAACGGUUCGGCCGAGCACUCUAAUGAGACUGCCUUCGCAAGGAGGAGGAAGGUGUGGACGACGUCAAGUCAUCAUGGCCCUUAUGUCCGGGGCGACACACGUGCUACAAUGGCGUAUACAAUGAGACGCAAUAUCGCGAGAUGGAGCAAAUCUAUAAAAUACGUCCCAGUUCGGAUUGGAGUCUGCAACUCGACUCCAUGAAGCCGGAAUCGCUAGUAAUCGUAGAUCAGCCAUGCUACGGUGAAUACGUUCCCGGGUCUUGUACUCACCGCCCGUCACACCAUGGGAGUUGAUUUCACUUGAAGCCCAAAUACCAAACUGGUUAUGGUCCACAGUGGAAUCAGCGACUGGGGUGAAGUCGUAACAAGGUAACCGUAGGAGAACC
This 869-nucleotide ribosomal RNA is filed under the name uncultured Campylobacter sp. Its description in RNAcentral is "bacterial SSU rRNA". It matches the Rfam family "Bacterial small subunit ribosomal RNA", at positions 640 to 1512 of the family's 1533-position model. Lineage: Bacteria; Pseudomonadati; Campylobacterota; Epsilonproteobacteria; Campylobacterales; Campylobacteraceae. The record is from RNAcentral.